GGAAGAACAUGUAACUUCAGCCCAUUCUGGAGAUGAGAAUACCGAAAACAGACAGGGGAGGUAAAGCGACCUCCAGGGAGUUCAUUCCCACCUUACAAAUGGGCUGAGGACAGAAGGGUAUGCAGCUUGCUUGGAGCCAGACAGGGCUGAGAGGCUCUGCCGCUCUCUUCACAAUGGAAGGUCUGCGAAGACUGUGCUUUCUCCAUCUCGGGAUCCCAGCACCAGCCACAGCAACUGUUUGUUGAAUGAAAGAAAGACCUUUGUGUGAGAAUGCAGAGCCUCCCUCUGCUCCCGACGUCCCACUGAGACCGCUGGCCAUGGUGAGCCUUCCUGUGGGACUGAUGAGGAAACUGAGGCGGUGAGGGGCGAGAUUGGCGGGAUACGGAGCUGAUGCACAGCCCAGGGGAUCCUGGCCCAGAGCCGCUCCCCAGGCCAGGCUCUGCAGAGAGGAAAGGCAGAGCCCUCUCACCCAUCUGCCCUGGGCUCACUGUACUUGGAGCCUCCCUCACCGCAGGGACCCACACAGGCUGGAGCCCCUCCCCAGCAGGAACCCCUGUCUACGUCCAGGGGCCUUGCGGAUGGAGGGCAACCUGGGGGGGGGCGCAGCCAAGCGCUGGCCCUGGAUUGGCAGUUCCCAAGGCCACACCCCACUGCCAUCGCCCUUGCUGGUGCUUCUGCCAGAGAUGCCCUAUCUACCCAGCACCAUCACAUGAACUCCUAUGCGCCCUACAAAGCCCAGCUUGAAUGUUGCCGCCUCCAGGAUACCAGGAGGGUCAUAUAACACUUUGAUCAAAAUCCCAACAAUACUUUUUCUGCAGUUGUUUAACCUAUUUGAGUGCCCACGCCGUCAGACCAACUCCUCUACUGAGCACUUACUGUGUGCAGGCAGGGGGAUGGUGCUGGGAGGGAGGGGAACAGGACAGGCCCAGUCUCAUCCUCUCAGAAUCCACCCCUGGGUCAGGCCUGCCAUCUGGACGGGUCCAACAUUUGGGCCUGGACAUGGAGCUCUGGCCACAGUGCCCUGGGGCAGCCCAGGAGGAGGGGAGGGGCUUGGACCUCGGCCCCUGCUUCCUAAGUGGGCGAGCAUGAGCCCCAAGCCCAGCCUCUCCGAGCUCGGUUUCCCCACGUGGGGCUCUGAGCCACGUGGGUCUGCUCACCUCCCAGGUGAGGGUGAGGCAGCUUGCCUGGCAUGGCUGCUCUGUGAGCAGGGGCUGGAGGCGAGGCCGUGGCCGUCUCAGCAGAAAGGGCUGCACUGGGCAGAAAUCCCACCCUUCCUCCCGGUGGUUCCCCCGGGGCCUGGGUGCUGGUCUCCAGAGCCUCAGCCCUGCCAGUUUCACCCGUCCUGGAGGGGGGUGGGGCUGGGCAGCUUCCUUGCCUCUGACAGAGCCUGGAGGGGCCGGUAUUCCACCCUCGGCUCCAAGCAGGGCCGCUGGACAAGCCGCCCGGACCCGUGGUGGCGGUGGUGAGGGCCACCCCGGGCGUGUCUCCUCACUGCCCA
Molecule: long non-coding RNA, 1498 nt
Organism: Bubalus bubalis (water buffalo)
Lineage: Eukaryota; Metazoa; Chordata; Mammalia; Artiodactyla; Bovidae
Exons: 2
Source: RefSeq, a predicted model, not a curated record